UACGGAGGGUCCAAGCGUUAUCCGGAAUCAUGGGGUUUAAAGGGUCCGUAGGCGGUUUAGUAAGUCAGUGGUGAAAGCCCAUCGCUCAACGGUGGAACGGCCAUUGAUACUGCUAAACUUGAAUUAUUAGGAAGUAACUAGAAUAUGUAGUGUAGCGGUGAAAUGCUUAGAGAUUACAUGGAAUACCAAUUGCGAAGGCAGGUUACUACUAAUUGAUUGACGCUGAUGGACGAAAGCGUGGGUAGCGAACAGG
Molecule: ribosomal RNA, 253 nt
Filed under: uncultured bacterium
Lineage: Bacteria
Description: partial 16S ribosomal RNA
Rfam family: Bacterial small subunit ribosomal RNA
Source: RNAcentral